This 480-nucleotide ribosomal RNA is filed under the name uncultured bacterium. RNAcentral describes it as "partial 16S ribosomal RNA". It matches the Rfam family "Bacterial small subunit ribosomal RNA", at positions 30 to 507 of the family's 1533-position model. The record is from RNAcentral.
AUUGAACGCUGGCGGCAUGCUACACAUGCACGUCGAACGGUAACAGGCCGCACGUUGCUGACGUGUUGCGAACGGGUGCGUAAUGCAUCGGCACGUGUCCAGUCGUGUGGGCUAACGCAUCGCAAGCUGUGCUAAUACCGCAUACCAUCUAUGGAUGCAAGCUGGGUAGCGAAGGUCCUCGCGCGAUUGCAGCGGCCGAUGUCCGAUUAGGUAGUUGGUGGGGUAAAGGCCUACCAAGCCAACGAUCUGUAGCUGGUCUGCGAGAACGACAAGCCACACGGGAACUGAGACACGGCCCAGAGUCCUAAGGGAGGCAGCAGUGGGGAAUGUUAGACAAUGGGCGCAAGCCUGAUCCAGCAAUGCCGCGUGCAGGAAGAAGGCCUUCGGGUUGUAAACUGCUUUUGUACGGAACGAAACGGUCUGGAUUAAGACCCUGGACUAAUGACGGUACCGGAAGAAUAAGCACCGGCUAACUACGUG